GAGACAGUCUACACAAACAUGCAACACACUCUCAGCACAGUACAAUCAAACUUCAGUCAACUCCAUCUGGAAUUCAAUGCAACCAAAAGUAAGAUGAUUUCAAAGCCUACCAACGGAGAAAAUCUGCAGCAGAAAAUGAACAGGAGUACCAACUAUCACAAAAAGCGCAAUGGUAUAA
Homalodisca vitripennis (glassy-winged sharpshooter) is the source of this 178-nucleotide long non-coding RNA. RefSeq lists it as uncharacterized. Lineage: Eukaryota; Metazoa; Arthropoda; Insecta; Hemiptera; Cicadellidae. The transcript has 2 exons. The record is from RefSeq and is a predicted model, not a curated record.